Molecule: ribosomal RNA, 254 nt
Filed under: uncultured bacterium
Lineage: Bacteria
Description: partial 16S ribosomal RNA
Rfam family: Bacterial small subunit ribosomal RNA
Source: RNAcentral
UACGUAGGGUGCGAGCGUUUAAUCGGAAUUACUGGGCGUAAAGCGUGCGCAGGCGGUUCGUUGUGUCGGCGGUGAAAGCCCCGGGCUUAACCUGGGAAUGGCCGUUGAAACUGGCGAACUGGAGUGUGGCAGAGGGGGGUGGAAUUCCGCGUGUAGCAGUGAAAUGCGUAGAGAUGCGGAGGAACACCGAUGGCGAAGGCAGCCCCCUGGGCUAACACUGACGCUCAGGCACGAAAGCGUGGGGAGCAAACAGG